This 242-nucleotide ribosomal RNA is filed under the name uncultured bacterium. Its description in RNAcentral is "partial 16S ribosomal RNA". It matches the Rfam family "Archaeal small subunit ribosomal RNA", at positions 473 to 713 of the family's 1478-position model. The record is from RNAcentral.
ACACCGGCGGCCCGAGUGGUGAUCGUGAUUAUUGGGUCUAAAGGGUCCGUAGCCGGUUUUGGUCAGUCCUCCGGGAACUCUGACAGCUCAACUGUUAGGCUUUCGGGGGAUACUGCCAGACUUGGAACCGGGAGAGGUAAGAGGUACUACAGGGGUAGGAGUGAAAUCUUGUAAUCCCUGUGGGACCACCUGUGGCGAAGGCGUCUUACCAGAACGGGUUCGACGGUGAGGGACGAAAGCGU